RNAcentral lists this transfer RNA (76 nucleotides) under Leifsonia sp. Leaf264. RNAcentral describes it as "tRNA-Glu". It matches the Rfam family "tRNA". Rfam says of the family: Transfer RNA (tRNA) molecules are approximately 80 nucleotides in length. Their secondary structure includes four short double-helical elements and three loops (D, anti-codon, and T loops). Further hydrogen bonds mediate the characteristic L-shaped molecular structure. tRNAs have two regions of fundamental functional importance: the anti-codon, which is responsible for specific mRNA codon recognition, and the 3' end, to which the tRNAs corresponding amino acid is attached (by aminoacyl-tRNA synthetases). tRNAs cope with the degeneracy of the genetic code in two manners: having more than one tRNA (with a specific anti-codon) for a particular amino acid; and 'wobble' base-pairing, i.e. permitting non-standard base-pairing at the 3rd anti-codon position. The record is from RNAcentral. Lineage: Bacteria; Bacillati; Actinomycetota; Actinomycetes; Micrococcales; Microbacteriaceae.
GGCCCCAUCGUUUAGCGGCCUAGGACGGCGCCCUUUCACGGCGUUAGCACGGGUUCGAAUCCCGUUGGGGUCACAA